Molecule: ribosomal RNA, 722 nt
Filed under: uncultured bacterium
Lineage: Bacteria
Description: bacterial SSU rRNA
Rfam family: Bacterial small subunit ribosomal RNA
Source: RNAcentral
GCCUCUAUUUAUAAGCUAUCACUGAAGGAGGGGAUUGCGUCUGAUUAGCUAGUUGGAGGGGUAACGGCCCACCAAGGCGAUGAUCAGUAGCCGGUCUGAGAGGAUGAACGGCCACAUUGGGACUGAGACACGGCCCAGACUCCUACGGGAGGCAGCAGUGGGGAAUCUUCCGCAAUGGGCGAAAGCCUGAUGCAGCGACGCCGCGUGAGGGAUGGAGGCCUUCGGGUUGUAAACCUCUUUCGCUCAUGGUCAAGCCGCAACUUAGGGUUGUGGUGAGGGUAGUGGGUAAAGAAGCGCCGGCUAACUACGUGCCAGCAGCCGCGGUAAUACGUAGGGCGCGAGCGUUGUCCGGAAUUAUUGGGCGUAAAGGGCUUGUAGGCGGUUGGUCGCGUCUGCCGUGAAAUCCUCUGGCUUAACUGGGGGCGUGCGGUGGGUACGGGCUGACUUGAGUGCGGUAGGGGAGACUGGAACUCCUGGUGUAGCGGUGGAAUGCGCAGAUAUCAGGAAGAACACCGGUGGCGAAGGCGGGUCUCUGGGCCGUUACUGACGCUGAGGAGCGAAAGCGUGGGGAGCGAACAGGAUUAGAUACCCUGGUAGUCCACGCUGUAAACGUUGGGCACUAGGUGUGGGGGCCACCCGUGGUUUCUGCGCCGUAGCUAACGCUUUAAGUGCCCCGCCUGGGGAGUACGGCCGCAAGGCUAAAACUCAAAGGAAUUGACGGC